This 930-nucleotide long non-coding RNA is filed under the name Olea europaea subsp. europaea. Lineage: Eukaryota; Viridiplantae; Streptophyta; Magnoliopsida; Lamiales; Oleaceae. The record is from RNAcentral.
GUAUGCCUUCUUAAAAAGUCACUUUAUGGUUUAAAACAAGUUCCAAGACAAUGGUCCAAGAGAUUUGACACUUUUGUACCUGAACUUGGUUUUAAAAGAAGUAAUUUCGAUAUUUGUCUUUAUUGUAAAGGAAAUGGAGGUGAGAAUUCACUCUAUCUUCUACUUUAUGUGGAUGACAUGAUUUUUGCUAGUCAUGACAUAAAGAAAAUAGAGUUAAUUAAAGACAAACUAAAAUCUUAAUUUGAAAUGAAGGACUUAGGCCUUGUUAGAAAAAUUUUGGAUAUCGAAAUUAAAAGAAAUAGAGGAUAGGGCAUAAUAAGUCUAAAUAAAAGAUCUUAUGCUUUGAAAAUACUUGAAAGAUUUGCAAUGUCUAAUGCUAAAAGUGUGAGUUUACCUUUAGCAAAUCACUUCAAAUUAUCUAAUGAACAAUCUCCCAAGAUUGAAGAAGAGUUCAAAAGAAUGUCUAGAGUGUCAUAUUCUAAUGCUGUGGAGUCAGUUAUGUAUCUAAUGAUUUGUUCUAGGCUUGAUUUGGCAUUUGCAAUAAGUGUAUUGAGUAGAUACAUGUCCAAUCCUGGUGAGGUUCAUUGGGAAGCUAUGAAGUGGCUUCUAAGAUAUAUAAAAGGAACUUGUGACCUAGGAAUUGAGUAUAGAAAGCAAUCUGAAGGUGCUAUCUUGAGGGGUUACAUAGAUUCUGAUUAUGCAGGCGAUAGGGACAAUAGAAAAUCAACUUCUGCCUAUGUGUACACUUUAUGUAAUUCCUAUAUAAGCUAAAAACCACAAUUACAAAAGAUUGUUGCUUUAUCUUCAACUAAAGCAGAAUAUAUAGCUACUAUGAUGAAUUUAGGUAAAAGGACUUUUAAAUGAAUUUGGUUUCAUAAGUGAUGUUGUCUUGCAUUCCGAUAGCCAAUUUGCUAUAUAUUUGAGUAGAAA